GUAUUUGUAGCAUAAUAGGUAAUGCAAUUAUUUCUUUAUCUCCGUUCUGUGAGAUGCAAGAUUCUGAUUUAGUAAGAUAUGGGUUCGAAACUCAUCUGAUACA
Molecule: transfer RNA, 103 nt
Filed under: Weissella oryzae SG25
Lineage: Bacteria; Bacillati; Bacillota; Bacilli; Lactobacillales; Lactobacillaceae
Rfam family: tRNA
About the family: Transfer RNA (tRNA) molecules are approximately 80 nucleotides in length. Their secondary structure includes four short double-helical elements and three loops (D, anti-codon, and T loops). Further hydrogen bonds mediate the characteristic L-shaped molecular structure. tRNAs have two regions of fundamental functional importance: the anti-codon, which is responsible for specific mRNA codon recognition, and the 3' end, to which the tRNAs corresponding amino acid is attached (by aminoacyl-tRNA synthetases). tRNAs cope with the degeneracy of the genetic code in two manners: having more than one tRNA (with a specific anti-codon) for a particular amino acid; and 'wobble' base-pairing, i.e. permitting non-standard base-pairing at the 3rd anti-codon position.
Source: Rfam by way of RNAcentral